Molecule: unclassified non-coding RNA, 320 nt
Filed under: Bursera isthmica
Lineage: Eukaryota; Viridiplantae; Streptophyta; Magnoliopsida; Sapindales; Burseraceae
Description: partial external transcribed spacer
Source: RNAcentral
UUCGGUAUCCUGUGUUGCCUACCUAUCGAAAGGAAUCCGAUGGUUUUGUUAGUCCCUUUCCGCCCCCUGCCCUCACGGGUUUUGGGGUGGACAUCAGGCAAGCCUCGUGUUCCAGGCAUGCUUCGCCCAGCUGCGUCGCUGCCUCGGCCCAUGAGGUGCAUUGCCCGUGCUCUCGGAUGCAGAAUGUUAUGUGCGGGUGCGGGGUCUAUUUAUUAGCUCCGUUUGCCCAAGCAACGCAUUUGUCUUACGACACGAACGACUUCCGUGCCCGUCUUGAGCCCGCGGCCGUAACGGCCUGCCGGGUCUCAUGCGGGCGUCGG